Long non-coding RNA from Poecilia latipinna (sailfin molly), 3427 nucleotides. RefSeq lists it as uncharacterized. NCBI's taxonomy places the organism in Eukaryota, Metazoa, Chordata, Actinopteri, Cyprinodontiformes, Poeciliidae. The transcript is spliced from 2 exons. The record is from RefSeq and is a predicted model, not a curated record.
GUGGGCAACUCCAGGCCUGGAGGGCCGGUCUGCUGCAACUUUUAGAUGUGUCUCUACUUCAACACACCUGAGUUGAGUUGGUGGGUUCUAGGAUAUUGCGAAGAUAAUCAUUUGACGAACAUGGAAGACGUUGUGGCCGGGCUUUUGAGCGAUAGAUCUAGGAUUGUGGAACAAAACUUGGAGUGUGGAAAAGGCGGUUUUUGGCAUAAACUGGUAUGUGAAUGGUUUGAAUGGCAAUGGAGAUAAGUAAUGAAGAAAAUGGGGAAUAUGAAGGGUGGACGCCAGUGGGAAGAGGGAGAGGAAGAGGACGAGGAAGAAUCAAAGUAGACGAAGGGAAGGGAAUCAGAGAUAGCCAAGGUAGUAAACGGGAUUUAGAAGGAAGCAGUUCAGAGGAAGAGAGGGUAGUUAGGAGAAAAGUUGUGAAUGAGGAAUUUAAAGUAAUUCUGAAACUUAAGAGUGACGAAGAUCAGGAGAAAAUUAGCCCAAUUGGGGUGUCAAGAGAAACUAAAAAGAAAAUAGGAGACGUUGAAAUGGUAAAGAUUUUGAGGGACGGAAGUCUUUUGAUAGAAUGUAAGGAUAUAGAGCAAAAGAAUAAGGCCUUCGAUGUGGACAAUAUAUGUAAAAGAACAAAAUGUUGGGAGGAAAUAAAAAAAUUAGAGGGGUGAUCUAUGGGAUCCCUCUAGAUGAGGAUCUGGAAAAACUUAAAAGAGAAAUAUUGUUGGAGCAAAGGUGACUAAUGUGAAAAGGCUGUCAAGAACUGUGGAUGGUGAGAGAGUUGGGAGUCAGUCAAUCCAAGUGGAGUUUGAAGAAAAAGAGUUGCCAAUCAAUAUAAAAGUAGGAUAUAUAAGUUUCCAAGUCGGACCUUAUGUACCUCCACCACUUCGGUGUUUUAAAUGCCAAAAGUAUGGACACAUUGUGGCAGUUUGUAAAGGAAAGCAGAAAUGUCCAAAAUGUGAGGAAGAUCAUAAAUUUGAAGAAUGUAAGGAAGACGUACAAGAGAAAUGUAACUGUGGGGGAAAUCAUAGGGUUACGUACGGAGGAUGCGAGGUAAGAAAGAGGGCUAAAGAAGUUGUGCAGAUUAAAACAUCUAAAAAUAUAAGCUACGCAGAGGCUGUUAAAAAUGUGAAGGAGCAGGAAAAAGGAGGUCGAGCAAAUGGGGAGUCAAACAACACGGCAAUCUAAAAUAAUACCGGAAGAAAAGGUCACUUACUCAGUGGAAAAUCUAGUUUUAUUCAUAGCUUAUGUUAUCAACUGUACAGAUCAAGCUAAGCACAAAACCGAGAAGAUUAAAAUAAUAGUGAGAGGAGCUGAAAAAUUCUUGGGGUUUAAGGAAGAUACAUGGGAAGAAAUAAAUAAAAAGCUAGAGGUGGAUAAGAAGUCGGGACCAGCAAGUGAAAGUAGUUUAUGUUAAUACUGCAAUGGAACGCUAGGAGUUUGAUAGCUAAUGGACAGGAAUUUAAAGGUUAUAUUGACGAGCUUGAAGUCCAACCAGAUAUAAUAUGUGUGCAGGAAACUUGGUUAAAAUUAACAUUAGAUUUUGUGAUUAGAGGAUAUGUUAGUAGUAUAAGAAGAGAUUGAGAAGAGGGAGGGGGAGGUGGAUGUGGAAUAUUUAUAAAACGAGGGAUAAAAUAUCAGGUUUUAGGAAAAGGGAAAGAACUAGAAUUUGUAGUAAUUGAGGUAUGGGAGCAGGGAGAUAAAAUUAAAAUAAAUUUUUAUAAUCCAUGUAAAUUAUUAUCGUCUGAAAUAAUGGUGGAAUUAUUAGAUUAUUUGGAGGGAAGAGUAAUUUGGUGUGGGGAUUUCAAUGCAAAAAGUACACUAUGGGGUAAUAGUAAUGAUAAAAAUGGGCAGGUUAUAGAAGAAGUGAUGGAAAAGAAAAAUUUAGUAUGUAUUAAUGAGAGAAGGGGAACAAGAAUCAAUAUAAGAACGGGGAUGGAAUCAUCUAUUGAUCUAUCAAUUGUAUCAAAUGAUGUAGCUGGUAUGGUCAGUUGAUAAAGAAACUACAGUAGGUAGUGAUCAUUAUCCUAUAACUAUAAGGGUAGGAAUAAUUGGAAAUAAGUAUAAAAAUAGAGGGGAGAGAUUGAACUUUAAUAAGGCAGAUUGGAGUAAGUUUAGAUAUUUGAGUCAAAUGUAUUUAGAAAAGGUAGAUUUUAAAAUGCAUAUAAAUGAAGUAAAUGCAAGAAUCUCAAAGAUAAUAACAGCAGAAAACUCUAUUAAAACGUCAGGGAGUAUUAAUGAUAAGAAAAAGGUGCCAUGGUGGACAAGUGAGUGUAAGGAAGCAAUUAAAUGAAGAAAUAAAGCCUUGAAGGUAUUAAAACAUAACCCAGUUUAUAUGAACUUAUUGAUUAUAAAAGGAAGCAAGCAGUAGUAAGGAGGAUUAUAAAGAAAGCUAAGAGAGACUAUUGGAGAAAUGUUUGUAGUACAAUAGGGAAAGAUACAAAAAUUGAGAAGAUAUGGAAAGUAAUUAAAAAAAUGAAUGGUAUUAAAAAAGAGUUUGAUUAUCCUGUAUUAAAAGUAGAGAAUGCUGACAUAAUUAGAGAUGAGGAUAAAGCUGAGGUAAUGGCAAGAUUAUUUUGUAAGAUACAUAGCACAAAUAACAUUAGCGAAGAGGGAAGAAAAGGGAGAGAAAAUACUGUUCUUAAGUAUAAAAAUUUAAUACAGAGUGAUGAAGAAAUAAAUCAUUUUUUGAAUGUUGAUUUUACCAAAGUGGAAUUAAAUUGUGUGCUUAGAAAGACCAAAAAUACAGGUGAAGAUAAAAUUUGGUAUAGAAUGAUAAGUCAACUAAGUGAUAAGUCAAAAGCUAUAAUAUUUCUAAUUAUCAAAGUGGUUUUCAUAAAGGGAGGAGCACUAAUGACUCAACAUUAUGUCUUGAGCAUGAAGUUAGAAAUGAUAUGAUGUGGGUAGAGGGUUUAUUAAUUAAGUUACACAAAUUACACAAAUUGGGGAUUAAAGGAAAAUAUAUGAAUGGAUUAAAGACUUUUUAACAAACAGGAAAUUACAGGUAAGAAUUGGAGUAGUUUCAGAUAAAUAUCUAGUGGAAAAUGAAACGCCACAGGGAAGUAUUAUAAGCUCAUUGUUUUCUGUUAUGAUAAAUGACAUAUUCAAAAAUAUUGGAAAGGAUAUGGGUUGUUCACUCUUUGCAGAUGAUGGAGCUGUUUGGCUGUUUGGAAAAGAGGGAAAAAUGUUGAGUUUAUAGUAAAGAAAUUACAAAAGGUAAUUAUUGAUAUAGAGGUGUGGGCACUGAAAUGGGGAUUUAAAUUCUCAGUGGAUAAAACAAAAGUAAUUAUAUUUUCUCAGAAAAAAACAAAAAGUAAUAGAUUUAAAAUUAUAUAAUCAAAAAAUAGAGCAGGUAAAGAGUAUAACAUUUUUAGGUUUGUGGUUUGAUGAAAAAUUAAAAUGGAAUAUUCACAUUCAAAAGAUUUUAGAUAAA